GAUGAACGCUGGCGGCGUGCUUAACACAUGCAAGUCGAACGAGGCAUUUGCGACAGAUUUUUUCGGAAUGAAGUUGCUUAUGACUGAGUGGCGGACGGGUGAGUAACGCGUGGGUAACCUGCCUUGUACUGGGGGAUAGCAGCUGGAAACGGCUGGUAAUACCGCAUAAGCGCACAAUGUUGCAUGACAUGGUGUGAAAAACUCCGGUGGUAUAAGAUGGACCCGCGUCUGAUUAGCUAGUUGGUGAGAUAACAGCCCACCAAGGCGACGAUCAGUAGCCGACCUGAGAGGGUGACCGGCCACAUUGGGACUGAGACACGGCCCAGACUCCUACGGGAGGCAGCAGUGGGGAAUAUUGCACAAUGGAGGAAACUCUGAUGCAGCGACGCCGCGUGAGUGAAGAAGUAAUUCGUUAUGUAAAGCUCUAGCAGCAGGGAAGAUAGUGACGGUACCUGACUAAGAAGCUCCGGCUAAAUACGU
RNAcentral lists this ribosomal RNA (480 nucleotides) under uncultured bacterium. Its description in RNAcentral is "partial 16S ribosomal RNA". It matches the Rfam family "Bacterial small subunit ribosomal RNA", at positions 28 to 506 of the family's 1533-position model. The record is from RNAcentral.